CUGAGAUUUUUGACCACAAAGACGCCAUGGACGAGAUGAAUGUUCUACGCUCUGAAAAGAUGGAGGAAAACGACAAAAGCUGGAACAUUAUGUAUGUUUGGCAGGUUGUGGGCCCAUCAGUGUAGCAAUCUGCAAAAAAAAAAAAACCUGCCGCCACACACAUACAGCCUCACUGCUGCAGGGAAACAGACGUCGUGCGCAUAAUUUCCUAACUGGCAAACACAAAACACAGGUGAGGACAGCCCGAGCCAGGACCGCACGCGUGACACAUGAACAAUGACGACAGUUUUGCAGCGCGGAAAUGCCAACGCUGCCUCUGUGUUGCUCCAUCCGUACUCGGACGCUCUCUGCUUCCUGGAGAAGCUGCCAACACAUAAGCACCUCAUUUAUUUUUUUUACGUGGAAACAGAACCGUGUGAACCCAGAAGCGGGCUAAACUCAUCAGAAUGAAUAAUUGUGUUUAUUAAACCACAUGUCUAAGGGAUGAUGUUGGCCUCCAGCAGUUCUCGGAUCUUUACAUGUUCACAUGAACACAGACGCUAGAGCCAAAUAAUAAUAAAACACAAAAAUCAAGAAGCAAAAACUAAAAGGCUAUUUAUAAUGUUUACAGCCAACCAGUCUCCUCUGGAGAUGAAAUUGUUGCGGUAUCAGGUCACAGAAUAUUGAGCAUGUGGACACUACACACGUUAACAAAACCAAAACUGUCUAUUUAAUGCUCUCUGUGGCAAGGAGAAAGGAAUAAUUGUGACUCUUAAACCCUUAAAGAUCUAGCUCCUCAUUGCCAGCAUGAGAAAGUAACCUUGGAGAACUACUGCCAACAGUUAUCAUCUUUAGUCACUUUCAACUUAUCAAGUCUGUGAGGUGCUAAAAGGAAACCUUUGGUGAAAACUUUUUGUAUUCUAAAUGCUAUUAACUUUCGUAAUUCACCAAAAUGACUAAACCAUAGUAAUAAAAUUAACUCCAGUU
Non-coding RNA from Poecilia reticulata (guppy), 966 nucleotides. Lineage: Eukaryota; Metazoa; Chordata; Actinopteri; Cyprinodontiformes; Poeciliidae. The record is from RefSeq and is a predicted model, not a curated record.